CCCUUAGAUGUUCUGGGCCGCACGCGCGCUACACUGACGAAGUCAGCGAGCAUGUCCUACGCCGACAGGUGCGGGGAAUCUUGUCAAACUUCGUCGUGAUGGGGAUUGAUUAUUGAAAUUCUUGAUCAUCAACGAGGAAUUCCUAGUAAGCGCAAGUCAGCAGCUUGCGUUGAUUACGUCCCUGCCCUUUGUACACACCGCCCGUCGCACCUACCGAUUGAAUGGUCCGGUGAAGCCUCCGGAUUGGCGCGCACCUCGGUGUCGCCGAGAAGUUGGCUAAACCUUACCAUUUAGAGGAAGGUGAANUCGUAACA
RNAcentral lists this ribosomal RNA (314 nucleotides) under uncultured eukaryote. RNAcentral's name for it is "partial 18S ribosomal RNA". It matches the Rfam family "Eukaryotic small subunit ribosomal RNA", at positions 1470 to 1796 of the family's 1831-position model. The record is from RNAcentral.